RNAcentral lists this transfer RNA (88 nucleotides) under Aeromonas caviae. Its description in RNAcentral is "tRNA-Ser". It matches the Rfam family "tRNA". Rfam says of the family: Transfer RNA (tRNA) molecules are approximately 80 nucleotides in length. The record is from RNAcentral. Lineage: Bacteria; Pseudomonadati; Pseudomonadota; Gammaproteobacteria; Aeromonadales; Aeromonadaceae.
GUGNAGGUGUCCGAGUGGCUGAAGGAGCACGCCUGGAAAGUGUGUAUACGGCAACGUAUCGAGGGUUCGAAUCCCUCCCUCACCGCCA